Dreissena polymorpha is the source of this 1637-nucleotide long non-coding RNA. RefSeq lists it as uncharacterized. The transcript has 3 exons. NCBI's taxonomy places the organism in Eukaryota, Metazoa, Mollusca, Bivalvia, Myida, Dreissenidae. The record is from RefSeq and is a predicted model, not a curated record.
GAAUUGUUUAACUAUCUUGUCGAAUUCUUUGUGAACAGAUGUUUACAUCUCAAAUUUAAAUUGUGCAAGUUUAACGAAGCAGUAAGCCUAAUCGUAAUUAUGCAUUUUUGUGUUAAGUAUUUAUGUAAUGCUAAUACAUACAGUAUAUAUAUUAAAACAGAAAAAAUCAAACUGGAUGUUAAGCUGUCCGAAACAAUUCGAAAGUUAUUAUAAAUCGUUCUGUUCGUGUAUAUUGUCAAUAUUAUUGUGCUUAAAGAAAAACAGUUUACGGUAGGACAACAAUGCAAGUAACAUAUCAAUGUUAUGUGUGCGCUGUGCUAGGCGCUAUGUUGCUCCCGGAAGUUAACCUAACGCCAGAUGGCGCGCUAUUCCAAAUCAGCAGCCCGACAGCAACUGUUAUAGAGCCUCGCGUUUUCACCGAAGAUCCACCAUUGUGCGAAUUUAGUAUCUGGGAGCAACGCAAGAUAUUCUUUGUGGACCGUUUGCGCCAAAUGAAUUCGAAAUUUAUCAAGUUUGGAAUACAAUUUUAUAAUGGGACAAAUGUGAUUAAACACACUGAGCCACAAGUCUUGAAACCAAAACUCUGUUUUUGGACGUAUUCCACGGCGGGUGAAACAUAUCCGUAUCUGAAUUGGAAUGUCGACUUUGGGUUGCUUACAUUUGGUCUUCUAGACGCAGAAACGAUUUAGAUCCCUUAUGUGGAUUUUAAGGCAUACACUACAUCAAAAUGUAUUGUGAACUUUGGUGCAAAUGAAUCCAUGAUAAAUGUUGCAAAAGCUUUGUCGGAGCUAGUGGUUAAUGAAACAGUAAAUGAGGUGCACCAGUUUGAACAAAUAUCUUUUUGUUAUUUAAUAGAGAUCGCUGGAGCUAAAUCUGGAUUCGAAUAUUAUGCUGGACUUUACCUUCAAUAUCCAGUACCGUUUAUUCAAUAUUCGUGUUGUGAAAUAAUAUAUUAUUACACCACAAGUAAAUAUUCGGAUCCGGUUUGUAACAUAACUCACGACAAAUGGACUUUAUGCUUCCUAGGUCCAUACAUCGUAGGCGUAAUGAUUCUUUUGUUCUUCCCAAUAAUGCUUUUUGAAUUAUUUCACUCAAUUUCCAAAGACGAAGUAAUUCAAUCGUACGACCACGAGAGUACGAAUGAGUUAUCUUGUUUAGUCUAUAAUCGCCAACAUGAAGCGCAGUGGGUUUUCCUAGAUGGAGCAUCGCCAUUGACCUUAUCCCAUCUACCAGCCAAGAUUUUCGCGGGAUUCAAGGAAGCGCAACCAGUCUUGCGGUCGCGACUACGACGGUUUGUGUACAUGCUUUUGCAGGGGAAUUGACUUUGUGUCUGGCCAGAGUUGAAUGUGUCUUUCGCAUGCGUGUAUACAGUAAGUGUUAUUUCGUAAACUGGCUAAAUAAAAUUAACACCACAGACUGAAUACUGAAAUGCCGAAACUAACAAACGUAUAAUUUAAGAGAUUAAUUUUAUUAUUAUAUGUUCUUUACUCAAAAUUGAUUGGUUUUACUUGCAUUUGUAGUGAUCUGAAGUUCAAUAUUAUUAUCAAAUGUUCUAUACUCAUUAUUGAUUAAUUUUACUUUCAUUUGUAGUGAUCUGAGGUUCAAUAUUAUUAUCAUAUGUUCUAUACUCAUUAUUU